This is a long non-coding RNA of Mya arenaria, 934 nucleotides long. RefSeq lists it as uncharacterized. The transcript has 3 exons. The record is from RefSeq and is a predicted model, not a curated record. Lineage: Eukaryota; Metazoa; Mollusca; Bivalvia; Myida; Myidae.
ACUGACUGGGACUAGGAGAAGGCCGUACCCCGCUCUGUUAAAACGUUCCUGCGUUUCAUUGAAGAUGUGGAAGUAGCUGCAAACUCGUCUCCAUACAAUGGGCCUAUUCUCAUUCAUUGUCUGGACGGUGCUAGCAAAAGUGGUCUGUUCUGUGCGGUGUCUUUCUUAAUACAGAAGAUGACCUGUGAAGGAGAGGCCAGUGUUGUGAAUGCAGUUCGCAAGGUCAGGUGCAGGAGAACAACUGCCAUUCCAUGCAAGGAGCAGUUUCAGUUCUGCUACGAUUGUCUACUGGAGUUUGUAAACACACAUGAUGGGAGCACUUAUUACAACUUUACAUCAUCAAAUUAUAUUAUUACCUAUAGUUCUAUUUUGUAGUGUAAUUCCAUUUCUUUAUAAACUGUACUAACAGUUAAUCACGCCGGCAUUUGUACCUGUUUAUACAUUUCUAGUUUUGAGAGCAAUUGUGUCAUUCAGCUGAUCUAUUUUACUACCAGAACUAACUCAGUAAUGUGGAAGACGCCAUUGCUGUGAAAAAUGAGUUUUUAAUAUCGAAUAGUGUAUUGUUUAUAUUUUGCAUAUUGUAAAUAGUUUGCUUUAACAAUAAUCAGAUUUUAUUAUAAAUAACUAAAAAUGCAACUUUAAAUAUAUCAGAUUUUACAGAGUAGUUAUUAAUACGUUUUAAUAAUAUGCUUUCUGGUGUUUUUUCAGAAAUUUGCCGGUGAAAAAACAUGAUAUUGAAGUUUUUAAAACAGUCAAAAUAUCAUUUUAAAUUCCUUCGAAAGUUAGGCCCGCUUGAAAACACGUCAAAAUUAAACGUCUAUGCUUAGUCACAAUUACCACGAACUCAUUUCUGAAAUUGGCUGUUCUGUAAAUUCAAAUUUCAUUUGGUAUUCAUGGAAAAUAAGCAGGAAAAUGAAAAUAUAGAAUAUUUUAG